UGGGGAAUAUUGCACAAUGGGCGCAAUCCUGAUGCAGCCAUGCCGCGUGUAUGAAGAAGGCCUUCGGGUUGUAAAGUACUUUCAGCGAGGAGGAAGGCGGUAAGGUUAAUAACCUUAUCGAUUGACGUUACUCGCAGAAGAAGCACCGGCUAACUCCGUGCCAGCAGCCGCGGUAAUACGGAGGGUGCAAGCGUUAAUCGGAAUUACUGGGCGUAAAGCGCACGCAGGCGGUCUGUCAAGUCGGAUGUGAAAUCCCCGGGCUCAACCUGGGAACUGCAUUCGAAACUGGCAGGCUAGAGUCUUGUAGAGGGGGGUAGAAUUCCAGGUGUAGCGGUGAAAUGCGUAGAGAUCUGGAGGAAUACCGGUGGCGAAGGCGGCCCCCUGGACAAAGACUGACGCUCAGGUGCGAAAGCGUGGGGAGCAAACA
Molecule: ribosomal RNA, 427 nt
Filed under: uncultured bacterium
Lineage: Bacteria
Description: partial 16S ribosomal RNA
Rfam family: Bacterial small subunit ribosomal RNA
Source: RNAcentral